CCUACGGGAGGCAGCAGUGGGGAAUAUUGGGCAAUGGGCGCAAGCCUGACCCAGCAACGCCGCGUGAAGGAAGAAGGCUCUCGGGUUGUAAACUUCUUUUAUCAGGGACGAAGCAAGUGACGGUACCUGAUGAAUAAGCCACGGUUAACUACGUGCCAGCAGCCGCGGUAAUACGUAGGUGGCAAGCUUUAUCCGGAUUUACUGGGUGUAAAGGUCGUGUAGGCGGGAAAGUAAGUCAGAUGUGAAAACCAUGGGCUCAACCUGUGGCCUGCAUUUGAAACUGGUUUUCUUGAGUACUGGAGAGGCAGACGGAAUUCCUGGUGUAGCGGUGAAAUGCGUAGAUAUUAGGAGGAACACCAGUGGCGAAGGCGGUCUGCUGGACAGAAACUGACGCUGAGGUGCGAAAGCGUGGGGAGCAAACAGGAUUAGAUACCCUAGUAGUC
This 443-nucleotide ribosomal RNA is filed under the name uncultured bacterium. Its description in RNAcentral is "partial 16S ribosomal RNA". It matches the Rfam family "Bacterial small subunit ribosomal RNA", at positions 338 to 795 of the family's 1533-position model. The record is from RNAcentral.